UCCAAUCAUGUGAGUAUGCACGAGAGCAAGGCUUGAUCUUAAACGAGAACAUCCUGAAUUCGUCUGUGGAGUAGAUACUGUUUUUUAUGUCAGGCAAAGAGGGAUCAAUAGGGUAUUCUUUCUUCUCUGAAGGAGAGGGCACAGGGAGGUCAGUACAUUUUUCACUCCCCGGGGAAGAAGUUGUAUCUGAAGGAGAGGGCACAGGGAGGUCAGUACAUUUUUCACUCCCCGGGGAAGAAGUUGUAUCUGAAGGAGAAGAUGGUGAUCUGUUUCCAAGAGAGGGCGAAAGUGGUGGAGAAUUUGAGUUUGAACUGGCCAUAGACACCCUCGGAUUGCAGUCUCCCAUAGCAUCAGUUUU
Molecule: long non-coding RNA, 358 nt
Filed under: Capsicum annuum
Lineage: Eukaryota; Viridiplantae; Streptophyta; Magnoliopsida; Solanales; Solanaceae
Description: long non-coding RNA (CANN_LNC016629)
Source: RNAcentral